GGGUCAGUAGGCUGGUCGUGCCACCGGUACGUACUGGUCUCACUGAUUCCUCCUUCCUGAAGAACCGUAGUGCCAUUAAUUUAGUGUUGCGGGGAAACAGGACUGUUGCUUUGAAAAAAUUAGAGUGUUUAAAGCAAGCUAACGCUUGAAUACAUUAGCAUGGAAUAAUGAAAUAGGACGAUCGAUCCUAUUUUGUUGGUUUCUAGGAUUGACGUA
RNAcentral lists this ribosomal RNA (216 nucleotides) under Glomeromycotina sp. RNAcentral describes it as "partial small subunit ribosomal RNA". The stretch from base 40 to 216 matches the Rfam family "Eukaryotic small subunit ribosomal RNA", at positions 686 to 864 of the family's 1831-position model. Lineage: Eukaryota; Fungi; Glomeromycota. The record is from RNAcentral.